Molecule: ribosomal RNA, 687 nt
Filed under: uncultured Lachnospiraceae bacterium
Lineage: Bacteria; Bacillati; Bacillota; Clostridia; Lachnospirales; Lachnospiraceae
Description: bacterial SSU rRNA
Rfam family: Bacterial small subunit ribosomal RNA
Source: RNAcentral
UGAACGCUGGCGGCGUGCUUAACACAUGCAAGUCGAACGAAACACCUUAUUUGAUUUUCUUCGGAACUGAAGAUUUGGUGAUUGAGUGGCGGACGGGUGAGUAACGCGUGGGUAACCUGCCCUGUACAGGGGGAUAACAGUCAGAAAUGACUGCUAAUACCGCAUAAGACCACAGCACCGCAUGGUGCAGGGGUAAAAACUCUGGUGGUACAGGAUGGACCCGCGUCUGAUUAGCUGGUUGGUGAGGUAACGGCUCACCAAGGCGACGAUCAGUAGCCGGCUUGAGAGAGUGAACGGCCACAUUGGGACUGAGACACGGCCCAAACUCCUACGGGAGGCAGCAGUGGGGAAUAUUGCACAAUGGGGGAAACCCUGAUGCAGCGACGCCGCGUGAGUGAAGAAGUAUCUCGGUAUGUAAAGCUCUAUCAGCAGGGAAGAGAAUGACGGUACCUGACUAAGAAGCCCCGGCUAACUACGUGCCAGCAGCCGCGGUAAUACGUAGGGGGCAAGCGUUAUCCGGAAUUACUGGGUGUAAAGGGUGCGUAGGUGGUAUGGCAAGUCAGAAGUGAAAACCCAGGGCUUAACUCUGGGACUGCUUUUGAAACUGUCAGACUAGAGUGCAGGAGAGGUAAGCGGAAUUCCUAGUGUAGCGGUGAAAUGCGUAGAUAUUAGGAGGAACAUCAGUGG